RNAcentral lists this ribosomal RNA (484 nucleotides) under uncultured bacterium. Its description in RNAcentral is "partial 16S ribosomal RNA". It matches the Rfam family "Bacterial small subunit ribosomal RNA", at positions 30 to 507 of the family's 1533-position model. The record is from RNAcentral.
AUUGAACGCUGGCGGAAUGCUUUACACAUGCAAGUCGAACGGCAGCACGGGGGCAGCCCUGGUGGCGAGUGGCGAACGGGUGAGUAAUACAUCGGAACGUGCCCGGUCGUGGGGGAUAACGUAGCGAAAGUUACGCUAAUACCGCAUACGAUCUGAGGAUGAAAGCGGGGGACCUUCGGGCCUCGCGCGAUCGGAGCGGCCGAUGUCAGAUUAGGUAGUUGGUGGGGUAAAGGCCUACCAAGCCGACGAUCUGUAGCUGGUCUGAGAGGACGACCAGCCACACUGGGACUGAGACACGGCCCAGACUCCUACGGGAGGCGGCAGUGGGGAAUUUUGGACAAUGGGCGCAAGCCUGAUCCAGCCAUUCCGCGUGCAGGACGAAGGCCUUCGGGUUGUAAACUGCUUUUGUACGGAACGAAAAGGCUCUGGCUAAUACCUGGGGCUCAUGACGGUACCGUAAGAAUAAGCACCGGCUAACUACGUG